Molecule: ribosomal RNA, 468 nt
Filed under: uncultured bacterium
Lineage: Bacteria
Description: partial 16S ribosomal RNA
Rfam family: Bacterial small subunit ribosomal RNA
Source: RNAcentral
GACGAACGCUGGCGGCGUGCUUAACACAUGCAAGUCGAACGGAAAGGCCCUGCUUUUGUGGGGUGCUCGAGUGGCGAACGGGUGAGUAACACGUGAGUAACCUGCCCUUGACUUUGGGAUAACUUCAGGAAACUGGGGCUAAUACCGGAUAGGAGCUCCUGCUGCAUGGUGGGGGUUGGAAAGUUUCGGCGGUUGGGGAUGGACUCGCGGCUUAUCAGCUUGUUGGUGGGGUAGUGGCUUACCAAGGCUUUGACGGGUAGCCGGCCUGAGAGGGUGACCGGCCAGAUUGGUACUGAGAUAGGCCCGGGACCCCUGGGGGGGGAAGAGGGGGGAAUUUUGGCAGAGGGGGGGGAGGCCGUAUGCGGCAACCCCGCGGGCGGGAGGAGGGCUUCGGGUUUAUAAACCGCUUUCGCCUGUAACAAGGGGGGGGGGAGGGAAGGGGAUAAGAAGACCCCGGCUAAGUACGUC